CCCCCCUUUUCCCCACUUAGAAUCGUGCCGAGGGAUCUGGAGACGUCCUAGAGAGGUUUGGGGGCAUCCAGGGGGUUCUGGACUCAUGCAGAAGAGUCUGGAGAUGUCCAAGGAGGAUCCAGGGAGUCCCCAGGCCUGCCUGCAGCCGGACCCGGUGACACCGGAGCCCUGUGGCGCUGUCACCAUCCUCUGUCCCGAGGACGGGAGGUGAACUGUGUGCCACCAGCAGAGGGGACCACGGGUGACAUCAGUGUGGAACAGCCGUGACGCGGCGGCGUUGUCAUUGGGUGUCACCGUCACGCAGAGGGGACAAAAGGACCCCCCUGGGGGCAUUGCGUCGAAGUUGGGGACACCGUGAGCAGCUUGAGGACUUCCCAGGGGAAGUGGGGGCACCGCGUCACCGUGUCACACCCCAAAGGUGGGGAUGCCCCCGCAGUGUCACACCCCAAAGUUGGGGACGCCCCCACAGUGUCACACCCGAAAGUUGGGACAGCUCUGUGUCACCCCGAUGGUGUCAGACACCAAAGUUGGGACACCCCAAAGUUGGGGUCUGUCCCAGAGGUGGGAGUGCCCCCACAUCCCCACCAUGGCGUCACAUCCCAAAGUUGGGGACCCCCCAUCUGGGGACCCAUUCUGUGCUCCCCCAAUUGCAGACAGCACUGUUCCCAUGGGGUGGGGGCGGGGGGCACCCUUUAUUUUUGGGGUUAAGGUUUAUUUUGUGAUAACGGGGGGUUGGGGGAUGCCCCCCCCAUGUGAAUAAAGGGCAGAGGAGCGGC
This 776-nucleotide long non-coding RNA is filed under the name Gallus gallus (chicken). The record is from RNAcentral. Lineage: Eukaryota; Metazoa; Chordata; Aves; Galliformes; Phasianidae.